UGGGACUUAUCUCUGGACCUGCCUCUCAG
Molecule: non-coding RNA, 29 nt
Filed under: Homo sapiens (human)
Lineage: Eukaryota; Metazoa; Chordata; Mammalia; Primates; Hominidae
Source: RNAcentral